GCCUCGUGCUCUUCUUGCCCCUGGGAGCCUCCGCUGGGGGCAUCCUGAGUCAGGCUGUGAGCAGAUUCGCCACCAGAGGGCGCCCCGGGCCCUGGGUCGUCCAAGGGGACAAGGACGUUCCCUGACCCCCCCAUCCUGCAGCCCACCUUCCUGCAGUGUCGUGGCAGGCGACACCGACUCCUAGGCGCCCUCCAGAGAUCCCAUCUUAGGCGACACCGACUCCUAGGCGCCCUCCAGAGCCAAGCAGCUUGCGACUUCUGAGUUGCACGGUCAAUUGGCCCGUGAAGGGGACGCCUACUUUCAAACAAGGCAGACAGGACACGACAGGACGGCGGCUCAUAGCACAGACUUUGGAUUGCAGUGGAUGGGACCAGAUCCUGGCUCCACUUCUGGCUAGCUGUGUGGCCCUGGGCAAGCUGCUUAACCUCUCUGGGCCUCAGUUUCUCCCCCUGUAAACUGGGGGAUGUGAACAGCGCCUGCCUCCGAGUCCUAAGGAUUGGGAGUAGUCGUGUAAAGUGCUCAGGUCCACAGGCCAUCAAUACUAAUAGUUAAAAAUUAU
Molecule: small RNA, 559 nt
Filed under: Pan troglodytes (chimpanzee)
Lineage: Eukaryota; Metazoa; Chordata; Mammalia; Primates; Hominidae
Description: processed transcript
Source: RNAcentral